ACACUCAAUCGUGUCAUUAUUACUGCAAUGUCACCACUAGAUUUUGUUGCUAUAACACACUACAGGGUGUUGGGCAUUCCACACUUGUUACUUUUUGGGUGCAUAUAGGCACUUGACUGGAGUUAAAAUUAACACCCCAUAGUGUUGAAGUAACAUCAACAGAUUGAUGCAAAGAUAAUCAUUGCAUCAAUCAAGAGUAGAGAAAGGAGAUUGUGGUGGACAUCAAGAGGACCAGACGCUCCCCUCACACUGCUGCACAUUGGAGAAGGAGCAGUGGAAGUGGUUUCCAGCUAUAAGUACCUUGGGGUCCACCUUUCCGAUUAGACUUCACCUGGAGCCAACAACCCGUUUGCUAAAGAAGGCUAAUCAACAUCUUUACUUCCUGCAGAUAUGCCGGACUGCGGAGAUCAAACCUCUACAGAUGUGGUGGAGAGCACUCUCAGCACCAGCCAGCCUCACAGUGUUGCACAGAGGCUGCAGAAAGGAAGGCUUUUCAAAUGAUGGUGAAGGCUAUACAGAAGAUUGUGUGCCAGAAGGGUACAGACCACCUGGCUUCUUUCCGCAAGCUGUAAGACUGUUCAAGUUGAGCAGUGCUGUCGCCCUGAAUUUCGUCCCACCCCAUGGCUAUUCCUCCCUCCACAUUGAACCCUUGAUUCUUCUUUUUUCAAAUACAAACCAUUUGUGAAUAACAUGUACAAUUUUGAUGAUUUUUGCUUCAUCAACACCAUGCAUUUGCAACGUCGCAUACACUCAAAACUGUGAAUAAGCAUCUCCCUUACAGCAGUGGUCCCUGACCGCCGGGCCGCGGGCCUAUACCGGUCAUUUGGUGCCGGGCGGCACAGAAAGAAUAAAUAACUUACAUUC
Molecule: long non-coding RNA, 864 nt
Organism: Hippocampus zosterae (dwarf seahorse)
Lineage: Eukaryota; Metazoa; Chordata; Actinopteri; Syngnathiformes; Syngnathidae
Exons: 2
Source: RefSeq, a predicted model, not a curated record